UGAGUACGGUGGCGCACGGGUGAGUAACACGUGACUUAUCUACCCUCGAGUGGGGAAUAACUUCGGGAAACCGAGGCUAAUACCGCAUAAUACCCACGGGUCAAAGGAGCAAUUCGCUUGAGGAGGAGGUCGCGGCCGAUUAGUUAGUUGGCGGGGUAAUGGUCCCACCAAGACGGUGAUCGGUAUCCGGCCUGAGAGGGCGCACGGACACACUGGAACUGAAACACGGUCCAGACUCCUACGGGAGGCAGCAGUGGGGAAUUUUGCGCAAUGGGGGAAACCCUGACGCAGCAACGCCGCGUGGAGGAUGAAGUCUCUUGGGACGUAAACUCCUUUCGAUCGGGACGAUUAUGACGGUACCGGAAGAAGAAGCCCCGGCUAACUUCGUG
RNAcentral lists this ribosomal RNA (389 nucleotides) under uncultured bacterium. RNAcentral describes it as "bacterial SSU rRNA". It matches the Rfam family "Bacterial small subunit ribosomal RNA", at positions 87 to 507 of the family's 1533-position model. The record is from RNAcentral.